This 27-nucleotide small RNA is filed under the name Bombyx mori (domestic silkworm). RNAcentral's name for it is "ovarian small RNA-18800". The record is from RNAcentral. Lineage: Eukaryota; Metazoa; Arthropoda; Insecta; Lepidoptera; Bombycidae.
UAACGACGGUAAGGUGGUCUGAAUCUA